GACGAACGCUGGCGGCGUGCCUAACACAUGCAAGUCGAGCGGAGAUAGACGGAUGGUAACUGAAGUUUGUCUUAGCGGCGGACGGGUGAGUAACACGUGGGCAACCUGCCUCGAAGAGGGGGAUAACACCGAGAAAUCGGUGCUAAUACCGCAUAACAUCACAUUAUCGCAUGGUAGAGUGAUCAAAGGAGAAAUCCGCUUUGAGAUGGGCCCGCGGCUGAUUAGCUAGUUGGUAAGGUAAAGGCUUACCAAGGCGACGAUCAGUAGCCGACCUGAGAGGGUGACCGGCCACACUGGAACUGAGACACGGUCCAGACUCCUACGGGAGGCAGCAGUGGGGAAUAUUGCGCAAUGGGGGAAACCCUGACGCAGCAACGCCGCGUGGAGGAAGAAGGUCUUCGGAUUGUAAACUCCUGUCUUCUGGGACGAUAAUGACGGUACCAGAGGAGGAAGCCACGGCUAACUACGUG
Molecule: ribosomal RNA, 470 nt
Filed under: uncultured organism
Description: bacterial SSU rRNA
Rfam family: Bacterial small subunit ribosomal RNA
Source: RNAcentral